GACGAACGCUGGCGGCGUGCUUAACACAUGCAAGUCGAACGAUGAAGCCGGAGCUUGCUCUGGUGAAUUAGUGGCGCACGGGUGAGUAACACGUGAGUACCCUGCCCUUGACUCUGGGAUAACUGCUAGAAAUGGUAGCUAAUCCCGGAUACGACCCUCGGCGGCAUCGCCAGGGGGUGGAAAGAAUUUCGGUCAAGGAUGGACUCGCGGCCUAUCAGCUCGUUGGGGAGGUAACGGCUCACCAAGGCGACGACGGGUAGCCGGCCUGAGAGGGUGACCGGCCACACUGGGACUGAGACACGGCCCAGACUCCUACGGGAGGCAGCAGUGGGGAAUAUUGCACAAUGGGCGCAAGCCUGAUGCAGCAACGCCGCGUGAGGGAUGACGGCCUUCGGGUUGUAAACCUCUUUUAGUAGGGAAGAAGCGAAAGUGACGGUACCUGCAGAAAAAGCACCGGCUAACUACGUGCCAGCAGCCGCCGUAA
This 484-nucleotide ribosomal RNA is filed under the name uncultured bacterium. RNAcentral's name for it is "partial 16S ribosomal RNA". It matches the Rfam family "Bacterial small subunit ribosomal RNA", at positions 28 to 523 of the family's 1533-position model. The record is from RNAcentral.